This 1034-nucleotide long non-coding RNA is filed under the name Salarias fasciatus (jewelled blenny). Its description in RNAcentral is "lncRNA (ENSSFAG00005005705.1)". Lineage: Eukaryota; Metazoa; Chordata; Actinopteri; Blenniiformes; Blenniidae. The record is from RNAcentral.
GGUGUAACGGGGGCCACUUUAUCAAUGGUCCUAAUUCGGUUUCAUGAUCUAAGUCGUAUCUCUUCGUAACCCCGGACGGCGUAGCGGGCCUCGAACGGUCCAGGGUGCGGCGCGGACUCGCCACGGGCUCGGUACUUGUUAGAACGGGGGUUGCCAGAGAGAGAAGUUGAAUGGAUCCGAGGGUGGCUUGGAUUCAGCCCGAACAGAAAGGACCUGCGAACGCCUUAUGGAUGCACGUCUGGGAGACCUCUCAGGGAGUACGGACGCUGUCCGCUCAGCAGCAGCAGCAGCUCCACAAUCAGAACCACAACCAGUGCGUGAGUUACGCCGCGCUGGAUGUUUUGAAAAAUGUGGCGACCGCGGUGGCAUCGGGCAGCACCGGGAAUGGCAGCAGCCAUCACGGCAUCAACGGCACCGCGGUCCCCCCGCUGGGGAUAGCGCUGACCAACGGGAACGCACACAACUCCUUCCCCGUCGCGAGCGUCUCGGAGCCCGGUGAGGGGAAAAUCCUCCCCCGGAAGACGGGAUCCGUCUCUCCGCCGUCUCCGCAGGAGUCCGGGACGGACAGCCCCCCUUCCAGCUGCUCGCUGGAGAGGACUAUGGGUGGGAAUGACACGGGCAACAUUAAUAAAAACGUCGGGGGUGCCAACCUGAUCCUCAACCUGAGCGACACCAUGGACAAUAACGUCAACCUGUACCACCAUAACCUUCAUCAUCACCACCACCAUCAUCAUCAUCAUCAUCAUCACCACCUCCAGCAGCUCUGCAUGAAGCGCCACCAGCUCCAGCCCUCCGUGCCCGUAAACCCCACACACAGCCACCACCCGGGCCGGAGGAAAAGCGACAAUAAGGCGAGCACUUAUGGGAUGAAUUACCUGCUUUCAAACUGCACCAAUGGGAACUACCCGAGCUCCUGGACACCCUGGAAGACGAGGAAGUACAACCCUGGAGUACUCGGGUGAGUGGACGUGCACAUCACUGCCUUUAAAGGGUUAAAAACUUUGGUAACGUCUGCUUGUUACGACUGUUUGGAC